GUUUUUAUAGUUGAAUUACAACGGUAGCUUUUCGUGUUACAGGUCUUGGUGUGAUCUAAGUAGAAACU
RNAcentral lists this transfer RNA (68 nucleotides) under Loxopholis percarinatum. Its description in RNAcentral is "tRNA-Glu". Lineage: Eukaryota; Metazoa; Chordata; Lepidosauria; Squamata; Gymnophthalmidae. The record is from RNAcentral.